RNAcentral lists this long non-coding RNA (381 nucleotides) under Malus domestica (apple). RNAcentral's name for it is "long non-coding RNA (MDOM_LNC018959)". The record is from RNAcentral. Lineage: Eukaryota; Viridiplantae; Streptophyta; Magnoliopsida; Rosales; Rosaceae.
CAACCAUCACGUCCCCCAUAGAAUACCUUCAUACACAGCUCCAUCUCUAAUAUAAUUAUGGUGGCAAUCAUUCAUUGAUUUAGGUCAAAAAUCAUCCCAAAAAAUAGUCAUGUUCUUAGGAAUAGGAUGCAUCAAGGAAGCAAUAGAGAUAUUUUUAUGGGCUCUAGGUAUUUAUUUACAUAUUAUUAUAGAUCUCGAAUGCAUAAUGUGCGUUUUUUUACCCUAGUAUGUUGUUCCUACUACCUGAUUUCCUUUGUCUUAUUAUUUAGACAUAGUAGAGCCCUAAGUUUUCUGGAUUUUUCCCUAGGGAUAAAUGCUGUAAUUCUAAUGCAUUUUAUAAAAUUAACGGACAGUGGAAAAAAUCUGAAAGAUUAUGAAUAU